Molecule: non-coding RNA, 1044 nt
Organism: Danio rerio (zebrafish)
Lineage: Eukaryota; Metazoa; Chordata; Actinopteri; Cypriniformes; Danionidae
Source: RefSeq, a predicted model, not a curated record
UGCACUUUUCACAUCCAUGGUAACCUGCAUGGCCUUUCACUUUUUUCAGAAAUGCACGUGCAGGUGCAUCACAGAUCAUAGAGGUGGCAGUAAUACGCCUUUCUAUAAAUCUGUAUGCCAAACGCCAAUGUUAAGAAGAAGAUUAACCACUUCCACGAGCUUCACGCCACGGCUUUUUACAGAAUUCUGUUCUGAUGUUGAGCUGUGGUCCCUUCAUCCAGACGCUCUUCGAAAACCAGUCUCUUUCACAGACAUCAGGGUCCAGUGACUACUUUUGGGGGGUCUGCAAACUUCCAAUGAGGACCAUUGACCAAUUGAAAAGGAUUCACUCAAGGAGGGAUUAAAUGCCACCAUCUCACCCCAAUACCUUGGAAAUUAUGGGUCAAUUAUUGGGUGAUGGCUUUUCCACCACCAAAACGCUUGUAAAUAGUUGCCUAAAACACAUGAAUAGUUAAUUGUUUUAGGCUGGAACCGUUUAUUUUAAUUUCUAAUAAUACAUUUUAAAAUAUAAUUGUAUAAAAUGCCAUGUUGUUUUAUGUAUUGUAAAUAAACAAGUCAUUCAGCACCAUUUCAGUAAGUAACUAAUGUCAAGCAGUUGUGACUGUUGCGCAUAAUUAUUGUGAUGCUGUAUAAAGUAAUAUCAAAGGUGACAACAUACUUGCCACACAAUUUUUAUAUCAAUUGACAUGACAAAAGUGCAGUUGAGGCAUGACAAUGUCAAAGUUGCAUCAACAGCAGCUUGUAAAUGGGAUGAUUUUGAAUUAAAACUUUCUUGAAAUUAUUAUAAUUUUAAUUGGUGUCAAUGAUCCCUUUGAUGCAAAUUCGAGUGACUAUUUACCUCACAAUCACAUAACAUGUUGUAUUUGGUUAUGACAAAUGGGGAAAGUCAAAAUUUGUCAGCAACUUGUACAAACUGUUCUGCUUGAUUUUGAAUUAUCUGCAGAUUAAUUUGGGCAUGCAUUCAUGGCAGCUUGGUGUAUGUUUCAAUCAUGGCUAUCAGCUUUUACAACAGUACUGCAAAAUAAAUUCUCAACAUCUGAAGUG